This 75-nucleotide transfer RNA is filed under the name Glaciecola sp. RNAcentral's name for it is "tRNA-Cys". It matches the Rfam family "tRNA". From Rfam's summary of the family: Transfer RNA (tRNA) molecules are approximately 80 nucleotides in length. Their secondary structure includes four short double-helical elements and three loops (D, anti-codon, and T loops). Further hydrogen bonds mediate the characteristic L-shaped molecular structure. tRNAs have two regions of fundamental functional importance: the anti-codon, which is responsible for specific mRNA codon recognition, and the 3' end, to which the tRNAs corresponding amino acid is attached (by aminoacyl-tRNA synthetases). tRNAs cope with the degeneracy of the genetic code in two manners: having more than one tRNA (with a specific anti-codon) for a particular amino acid; and 'wobble' base-pairing, i.e. permitting non-standard base-pairing at the 3rd anti-codon position. The record is from RNAcentral. Lineage: Bacteria; Pseudomonadati; Pseudomonadota; Gammaproteobacteria; Alteromonadales; Alteromonadaceae. RNAcentral also lists the same sequence under 1 other name.
GGCGGCAUGGCCAAGUGGCUAAGGCAACGGAUUGCAAAUCCGUCAUCCCCGGUUCGAGUCCGGGUGCCGCCUCCA